Leptidea sinapis is the source of this 1071-nucleotide long non-coding RNA. RefSeq lists it as uncharacterized. NCBI's taxonomy places the organism in Eukaryota, Metazoa, Arthropoda, Insecta, Lepidoptera, Pieridae. The record is from RefSeq and is a predicted model, not a curated record. The transcript is spliced from 4 exons.
UUUUACUUAUUCAAAAGUUAACAAAUUGUCGUGGUACUGCUCCAGUAAAUCCAGGGGUUGCAAAGCCAGAGUGUCCUUUCUGAAUCCUCAUCUAAGUUCGACAGUACAUAAUCACCCACCACCGAAAUAUAUGAAGAUCUCAACUGAUUUCCAUUAUGAAUUGAUCCCGUCGUCAAGAAGUACUAAAAAUAUUUUAGUAUUCCAAGGUUAUACUUUCUCGCAAAACCGCUCUUCCGGGAAUUGGUAUUGCUCCAAGCAACAUAGCGGAUGCAAGGCCAGGAUCAAUAUGAAUGCUGAUGGUUUCAUAAUGAAGGUCAAUGUGAAUCACUCUCAUGGGAAACCUAAAGUUCGUUAAUUUCAGAUAAGUAAGUUGGCCGCCUAGAUCUGUGACAUCACACCCUGAAACCAUUCUCUUACGGGCAAUGUAAAGUCCAACGUUUAUAGAUACGUCGCAUACGAUUGAGAUACUGGAAGUGAAGAAGCACAUCUCUGCUUGCUCGAGUCCGUGGCAGCACCAACACCCAGGGAGUCCCCUCUUUUACAAAGGAAACAAAUAUUUAGAGUUCUCAAAGAAAUACCUUCAGCCGAUGAAGACAGAAUUUAAUGAAAAAUUAUCAAAACUGAUAGGACGAAAGAAAAGCAAUAGUAUAUAUUACAUUAAUGAAGCACGUUACGAGGAUUUCAUUAAUGAUAUAAAAGAAGUGAAAAAUAGACGUCUUAAAACAUACGAAGAUUACAAAUAUUUAGCAAACUAUGAAGUUCUGGAAAUUAACGGAAGAGAAAGACUUGUAAAACCAAAAAAUGAUAGUGAAGUGAUGAAAUUUUAUGUGAAAAUAGAUGAAUUAUUUGGAGUCUUGCACACCAUUCAUAUAUUGUUUGAGCACGCGAAUAGAGAUACUAUGGACGUGGAAAUAAAAUCAAAGUACUGCAAUAUCUCCAAAGAUGCUAUUAAAUUGUAUUUAUCGUGUUGUUAUAAGUGUAGCAAGGGCCUGUAAAGCUUACAAAUUUAUCUGCAAUGCUUAAUAAUUUAUAUGAAUAUUAAAUUAAAAUAAACAAUAUGUUUGGGUUUCA